Molecule: ribosomal RNA, 401 nt
Filed under: uncultured bacterium
Lineage: Bacteria
Description: bacterial SSU rRNA
Rfam family: Bacterial small subunit ribosomal RNA
Source: RNAcentral
UGGGGAAUAUUGGACAAUGGGCGCAAGCCUGAUCCAGCAAUGCCGCGUGAGUGAGGAAGGCCUUAGGGUUGUAAAGCUCUUUCACCCGCGACGAUGAUGACGGUAGCGGGAGAAGAAGCCCCGGCUAACUUCGUGCCAGCAGCCGCGGUAAUACGAAGGGGGCGAGCGUUGUUCGGAUUUACUGGGCGUAAAGGGCGCGCAGGCGGCUCAUUUUGUCAGGCGUGAAAGUCCCGGGCUUAACCUGGGAACUGCGUUUGAUACGGAUGGGCUAGAGUUCGGGAGAGGAGAGUGGAAUUCCCAGUGUAGAGGUGAAAUUCGUAGAUAUUGGGAAGAACACCGGUGGCGAAGGCGGCUCUCUGGACCGAGACUGACGCUGAGGCGCGAAAGCGUGGGGAGCAAAC